GGAAGUAAAGGUCGUAACAAGGUCUCCGUAGGUGAACCUGCGGAGGGAUCAUUACAGAGACUCUGCCCUUUGGGUAGACCUCCCACCCUGUGUCGUUAUACCUUCGUUGCUUUGGCGGGCCGUGGGGCCCCGGCCCCGCCCCUGGCUCCGGCUAGGGCGCGCCCGCCAGAGGACCUCAAAACCUGAAUGUUAGUGUCGUCUGAGUACUAUAUAAUAGUUAAAACUUUCAACAACGGAUCUCUUGGUUCUG
RNAcentral lists this unclassified non-coding RNA (250 nucleotides) under plant metagenome. Its description in RNAcentral is "partial contains small subunit ribosomal RNA, internal transcribed spacer 1, and 5.8S ribosomal RNA". The stretch from base 1 to 54 matches the Rfam family "Eukaryotic small subunit ribosomal RNA", at positions 1778 to 1831 of the family's 1831-position model. The record is from RNAcentral.